This 1333-nucleotide ribosomal RNA is filed under the name bacterium NLAE-zl-G214. RNAcentral's name for it is "16S ribosomal RNA". It matches the Rfam family "Bacterial small subunit ribosomal RNA", at positions 117 to 1457 of the family's 1533-position model. The record is from RNAcentral.
GUGNAUAACCUGCCUCACACGUGGGGGAUAACAGUUAGAAAUGACUGCUAAUACCGCAUAAGCGCACAGUGCCGCAUGGCAGUGUGUGAAAAACUCCGGUGGUGUGAGAUGGAUCCGCGUCUGAUUAGCCAGUUGGCGGGGUAACGGCCCACCAAAGCGACGAUCAGUAGCCGACCUGAGAGGGUGACCGGCCACAUUGGGACUGAGACACGGCCCAAACUCCUACGGGAGGCAGCAGUGGGGAAUAUUGCACAAUGGGCGAAAGCCUGAUGCAGCGACGCCGCGUGAGUGAAGAAGUAUUUCGGUAUGUAAAGCUCUAUCAGCAGGGAAGAAAAUGACGGUCCCUGACUAAGAAGCCCCCGGGCUAACUACGUGCCAGCAGCCGCGGUAAUACGUAGGGGGCAAGCGUUAUCCGGAUUUACUGGGUGUAAAGGGGAGCGUAGACGGCGAAGCAAGUCUGAAGUGAAAACCCAGGGCUCAACCCUGGGACUGCUUUGGAAACUGUUUUGCUAGAGUGUCGGAGAGGUAAGUGGAAUUCCUAGUGUAGCGGUGAAAUGCGUAGAUAUUAGGAGGAACACCAGUGGCGAAGGCGGCUUACUGGACGAUAACUGACGUUGAGGCUCGAAAGCGUGGGGAGCAAACAGGAUUAGAUACCCUGGUAGUCCACGCCGUAAACGAUGAAUGCUAGGUGUUGGGGGGCAAAGCCCUUCGGUGCCGCCGCAAACGCAGUAAGCAUUCCACCUGGGGAGUACGUUCGCAAGAAUGAAAACUCAAAGGAAUUGACGGGGACCCGCACAAGCGGUGGAGCAUGUGGUUUAAUUCGAAGCAACGCGAAGAACCUUACCAAGUCUUGACAUCCCCCCUGACGGGNCCGGUAACGCGGCCUUUUCCUUCGGGACAGGGGAGACAGGUGGUGCAUGGGUUGUCGUCCAGCUCGUGUCGUGAGAUGUUGGGUUUAAGUCCCGCAACGAGCGCAACCCUUAUCCUUAGUAGCCAGCACGUGAAGGUGGGCACUCUAGGGAGACUGCCAGGGAUAACCUGGAGGAAGGUGGGGAUGACGUCAAAUCAUCAUGCCCCUUAUGAUUUGGGCUACACACGUGCUACAAUGGCGUAAACAAAGGGAAGCGAGACAGUGAUGUGGAGCAAAUCCCAAAAAUAACGUCCCAGUUCGGACUGUAGUCUGCAACCCGACUACACGAAGCUGGAAUCGCUAGUAAUCGCGAAUCAGAAUGUCGCGGUGAAUACGUUCCCGGGUCUUGUACACACCGCCCGUCACACCAUGGGAGUCAGCAACGCCCGAAGUCAGUGACCCAACCGAAAGGAGGGAGCUGCC